RNAcentral lists this ribosomal RNA (253 nucleotides) under uncultured bacterium. Its description in RNAcentral is "partial 16S ribosomal RNA". It matches the Rfam family "Bacterial small subunit ribosomal RNA", at positions 524 to 776 of the family's 1533-position model. The record is from RNAcentral.
GACAGAGGCCUCGAGCGUUAGGCGGAAUCACUGGGCUUAAAGCGUGUGUAGGCGGGCCCGUAAGUGUCUUGUGAAAUCCCACGGCUCAACCGUGGAACUGCUGGGCAUACUGCGGGUCUUGGGCCAACUAGGGGCAGCCGGAACAAGCGGUGGAGCGGUGAAAUGCUUAGAUAUCGGGAGGAACACCAGUGGCGAAGGCGGUGCUCUGGGCCGGAACUGACGCUGAGGAGCGAAAGCGUGGGUAGCAAACAGG